This 301-nucleotide ribosomal RNA is filed under the name uncultured bacterium. RNAcentral's name for it is "partial 16S ribosomal RNA". It matches the Rfam family "Bacterial small subunit ribosomal RNA", at positions 509 to 809 of the family's 1533-position model. The record is from RNAcentral.
CAGCCGCCGCGGUAAUACGUAGGGUGCAAGCGUUAAUCGGAAUUACUGGGCGUAAAGCGUGCGCAGGCGGUUAUAUAAGACAGAUGUGAAAUCCCCGGGCUCAACCUGGGAACUGCAUUUGUGACUGUAUAGCUAGAGUACGGCAGAGGGGGAUGGAAUUCCGCGUGUAGCAGUGAAAUGCGUAGAUAUGCGGAGGAACACCGAUGGCGAAGGCAAUCCCCUGGGCCUGUACUGACGCUCAUGCACGAAAGCGUGGGGAGCAAACAGGAUUAGAUACCCCUGUAGUCCCUGUCUCAUAUAA